Rhopilema esculentum is the source of this 1474-nucleotide non-coding RNA. The record is from RefSeq and is a predicted model, not a curated record. Lineage: Eukaryota; Metazoa; Cnidaria; Scyphozoa; Rhizostomeae; Rhizostomatidae.
AAAGGUCCCGCCAAAAAUCACUUAUUUUCAUCAAAAGGUGCAGUUUCCUUAAAAUUAGACAUGAUCCAAGAUGAUAUCUUGUCGGAAAUUGUAAGCCUGGGCCCCCCCCAAAAUUGAAGCCUAAAUUUCCGGUACUGAGAGUAUUGCAAGCAGAAAUGAGGAACUUACAGUAUGUAGUCAAUUUUUUGCAACAAUAUCAACGAGGCAUGUUUAUGAAUUGAAUUAGAAAUUGCUUUGGAAAAAGCAAAAAAAUUUGAAACAUGUUACUAAAGUUUCUUUUUGUCUGACACACUUCAGAGUAUAAAACACCAGAACAUAGAUCAAAAACUCUAUGCUAGGAAAUGUAUAUACGCAGUUUGUGGAUCAAAAUAGGCCAGUCAAAAACGAUUUAUACUCUGAAGAGUGUCAGACGGACAAAAAGCUUUAGUAAUAUGUUUCAAAAUGUUUGCUUUUUACCAACCCAUUUUUAAAUUCUGUAUCAUGAAAGAUUGUUUGAAUAAAAAAUAAGGUUUGAUUAAUUUUCUAAAUCUCAAUGUUUAAGGUUACGAUAAAUCACAUUCUAGUAGCCAAACUUUCAAGGCACACAAUAAUACCAUGUUUGAAACUAACAAAAACUUUGAAAAUAGGAAAAAUCUCAUGUAAACAAAGGUUUCCAUAAUUGUUUUGAUCAAAACUUUGAGUUAAGGUCUGAAAUUGCUUGACAUGUUAAUCUGAUUAUCAUUGCUUUGUGGUUGUGGUUGCAUAGCUCAUUUACAGUAUUGCAUGGCACAUCGCUGUAUCCCAGGUUCGUACAGCUGUGUUUAUUUAAAUAGGCUUAUUGCUCUUAAAGCUUCAAAUGACUUGGCCCAAAUUACACUGUGGUUCACUAGUGUACCUUGCAAGUGCGAUCAGCAAAAUCCCGUUUUCUCUCUGGCCUCACAAUUCCUCUACAUACAGCUAUUUUGUACCCAAGGAACCAAUCAAAUGGCAAAAAAAUUUGCACAUGGCCAGGACAGGUGUUGGCGGUUAACAGCGUGCAAAUAUACCGAGGCAAUUGCAGGAAAGAAUCUCUAUUUAAAAUUGGAGGCAGAGGAACUAGACUGGAUGCAAACAUUAUCUCUUCUAAAACGUCAUCCAGACUAUCCCUGUGUGCUAAAUCGUGUAUUGAUGAAGCAAGUUGCAAAAGCUUCAACUACAAUGUGGUUGCAUUGAUUUGUCAGCUGCUUUCGAAAGACAAAAAUGACGUUGGUGCAGAAAAGCUUUUGGCCGUAGAGGGUUGGAAUUAUUAUCAACCAGUCAAGUUCAUGGAUACACCAAGGUGCCGGACAGAAACAAGUUCCGAAAAGUGCCCUUUCAAUGAAGCUUGCGAUGAGGUGUGCGAAAAUCCAGUUGGCCAUAAAUGCCGAACAUUAGGUGAGUUAUCAUUUCAUAAUGUAAUUUUCUUCCUCAAUUUGGUUUAUUUUGUUUUCAGCGUCAAGUUUCAUUGCAUUGUCUA